Molecule: ribosomal RNA, 372 nt
Filed under: uncultured organism
Description: bacterial SSU rRNA
Rfam family: Bacterial small subunit ribosomal RNA
Source: RNAcentral
CAGAGGUCUCAAGCGUUGUUCGGAUUCAUUGGGCGUAAAGGGUGCGUAGGUGGUGCCGUAAGUCAGGUGUGAAAUCUCGGGGCUCAACCCCGAAACUGCACUUGAUACUGCGGUGCUCGAGUACUGGAGAGGAGAUUGGAAUUUACGGUGUAGCAGUGAAAUGCGUAGAUAUCGUAAGGAAGACCAGUGGCGAAGGCGAAUCUCUGGACAGUUACUGACACUGAGGCACGAAGGCCAGGGGAGCAAACGGGAUUAGAUACCCCGGUAGUCCUGGCAGUAAACGGUGCGCGUUUGGUGUGGGAGGAUUCGACCCCUUCUGUGCCGGAGCUAACGCGUUAAACGCGCCGCCUGGGGAGUACGGUCGCAAGAUUA